AUGACAGCGUCGACAUGGACGAUGGUGCCAUCGGAGAGCACGGCGUCGGAGUUCGUGAAGCGGGUGAUGCCGGGGACGACGGUGAUUUGGCCGCUCCUGAUCCUGGCGAGCGCGCCGGUGUCGAGCACCGGGGCGCGGCCUUGCGUGUGCUUGAGCGUGAGCGGGCCGACAGCCGGGCGGUGGAUGCCGAGCUUGUCGAGGUCGCCGAGGACGAGCCAGGCGAGGAAGAUCAUGAUCUUGUCCACCAACCAGAGCGGGAGCCACGCCACGAGCAGCAUGGCCAGCUCGAAAGUGGACUUGCCGAGCACCUCGCGCGGAAUGACGUGCAUGGCGUCGCGCACCACCAUGAAAGGGUGGGCGCCGUGGUCGCAGAGGUCGAGGGAGACCUCCAUGCCGGAGUUCCCGCAGCCGACGACGAGCACGCGCUUCCCGUUGUAUGGCUCGCCGGACUUGUAG
RNAcentral lists this ribosomal RNA (456 nucleotides) under Triticum aestivum (bread wheat). Its description in RNAcentral is "partial small subunit ribosomal RNA". The record is from RNAcentral. Lineage: Eukaryota; Viridiplantae; Streptophyta; Magnoliopsida; Poales; Poaceae.